RNAcentral lists this ribosomal RNA (3210 nucleotides) under Triticum aestivum (bread wheat). RNAcentral's name for it is "partial small subunit ribosomal RNA". The record is from RNAcentral. Lineage: Eukaryota; Viridiplantae; Streptophyta; Magnoliopsida; Poales; Poaceae.
AUGGCGGAGAAGCUGAGGGAUCUGAGCCAGCCGAUAGAUGUCCCCGUGCUCGACGCCACCGUCGCCGCCUUCUAUGGCACCGGAUCUAAGGAGGAGAGGAGCGCCGCUGAUCUGAUACUGCGGGAUCUGCAAAACAACCCUGACAUGUGGCUGCAAGUGGUGCACAUCCUGCAGAACUCCCAGAACCUCAACACCAAGUUCUUUGCCCUCCAAGUACUUGAAAGUGUUAUCAAGUACAGGUGGAACGCAUUGCCGGUUGAACAACGUGACGGCAUAAAGAAUUACAUAUCUGAUGUGAUUGUCCAGCUCUCAAGUAAUGAGGUUUCCUUUCGACAAGAGAGGCUUUAUGUUAAUAAGCUCAACAUUAUAUUGGUGCAGGUUCUGAAGCAUGAGUGGCCAGCCAGGUGGACAUCCUUCAUUCCUGACCUUGUUGCAGCAGCAAAGAGCAGUGAAACCAUAUGUGAAAACUGCAUGGCUAUACUGAAGCUUUUAAGUGAAGAAAUUUUUGAUUUUUCAAGAGGUGAAAUGACACAACAGAAGAUUAAAGAACUCAAGUCCUCACUCAACAGUGAAUUUCGACUCAUCCACGAGCUGUGUUUGUAUGUCCUAUCUGCAACACAAAGUUCUGAGCUGAUCCGUGCUACAUUGGCUACGCUUCAUGCUUUCUUAUCAUGGAUUCCUGUUGGAUUCAUAUUUGAGUCGCCAUUGCUGGAGACGCUGCUGAAGUUCUUUCCUAUGGCUGCCUAUCGGAACCUUACACUUCAGUGUCUAACAGAGGUUGCUGCUCUUCAGUUCGGUGAUUUUUAUAAUGUGCAGUAUGUGAAGAUGUACACAUUUUUCAUGUUGCAGCUGCAGGCUAUUCUUCCUCCUGGAACAAUUCCCAAUGCGUAUGCUAAUGGUUCCAAUGAAGAACAAGCAUUCAUACAAAAUCUGGCACUCUUCUUCACUGCCUUCUUCAAGAAUCAUAUACGCAUACUGGAGGCUUCUGCAGAAAAUAGAGCUGCAUUACUUGUUGGUCUCGAGUACCUCAUCGGAAUAUCAUAUGUUGAUGACACUGAAGUUUUCAAGGUGUGUUUGGAUUACUGGAAUGUAUUUGUCUUGGAGCUUUUUGAAGCACACAAUCAAAUGGAGCCUGCAAUACCAGCUGUAAGCAUGAUUGGGCUUCAGGCCCAGAUGAUUCCUGGAGUUGAUGGUACUGGUACAGCUGUUCACCAAAGGAGGCAGCUUUAUGCAAGUCCACUAUCAAAAUUACGAAUGUUGAUGAUUUGUCGGAUGGCAAAGCCUGAAGAGGUAUUGAUUGUGGAAGAUGAAAAUGGCAAUAUUGUACGGGAAACAAUGAAGGAUAAUGAUGUCCUUGUCCAAUAUAAGAUCAUGAGGGAAACGUUGAUCUAUUUGUCCCAUCUUGAUCAUGAGGAUACAGAGCAACAGAUGUUGAAGAAAUUGACUAAGCAAUUGAAUGGAGAAGACUGGAGUUGGAAUAACCUCAAUACUCUAUGCUGGGCUAUUGGAUCAAUAUCUGGUUCUAUGGUGGAGGAACAGGAGAACAGAUUCUUGGUGAUGGUUAUUCGUGAUUUGCUAAAUCUCUGUGAAAUCACGAAGGGGAAAGACAACAAAGCUGUUAUUGCGAGUAACAUCAUGUAUGUGGUCGGUCAGUACCCAAGAUUUCUCAGGGCUCAUUGGAAGUUUCUGAAGACAGUAGUCAACAAAUUAUUUGAGUUCAUGCAUGAGAUGCAUCCUGGAGUUCAGGAUAUGGCGUGUGAUACAUUCCUGAAAAUUGUUCAGAAAUGCAAGCGCAAGUUUGUGACACAACAGGUGGGCGAGAACGAACCAUUUGUUUCUGAACUGCUCACCAACCUUGCUACGACAAUUCUUGAUCUUGAGCCGCAUCAGAUUCAUACGUUUUAUGAAUCGGUUGGUCACAUGAUUCAAGCUGAAUCUGAUAAUACUAAGAGGGACGAAUACCUGAAGAGAUUGAUGAGCCUUCCUAAUCAGAAAUGGGCAGAAAUAAUUGGACAGGCAGGCCAAAGCAUUGAUAUCCUGAAGAACCAAGAUGUUAUCAGAUCUGUUCUUAACAUCUUGCAGACAAACACAAGUGUUGCGACUUCGCUUGGACCACACUUUUUCCCACAAAUUUCACUGAUCUUCCUCGACAUGCUGACAGUUUACAGAAUGUACAGCGAGCUAGUAUCAAGCACUAUUGCUGAAGGGGGGCCUUAUGCCUCAAAGUCGUCAUUUGUAAAACUCUUAAGAUCUAUCAAGAGGGAAACAUUGAAAUUGAUUGAGACGUUUGUGGACAAAGCUGAAGACCUACCGCACCUUGGGAAGCAGUUUGUUCCUCCAAUGAUGGAUCCUAUUCUUGGUGAUUAUGCUAGAAAUGUGCCUGAUGCAAGGGAAUCUGAAGUCCUGUCCCUGUUUGCAACAAUUAUAAACAAGUACAAAGCUGAAAUGCUUGAUGAUGUGCCUCGUAUAUUCGAGGCUGUUUUCCAGUGUACUCUUGAGAUGAUUACUAAAAACUUUGAAGAUUAUCCUGAGCACCGCCUCAAGUUUUUCUCUUUACUUCGUGCUAUCGGCACCCAUUGCUUCAAAGCUUUAAUUCAGCUUUCCAGCCAGCAAUUGAAGCUUGUGAUUGAUUCGAUCAACUGGGCAUUUAGACAUACAGAGAGAAACAUUGCCGAGACUGGUCUUAGUCUUUUAUUGGAAAUUCUGAAGAAUUUUCAGGCUUCAGAAUUCACGAAUCAGUUCUACAAAACAUAUUUUUUGACUAUAGAGCAGGAGAUUUUUGCAGUUCUCACAGAUUCAUUUCAUAAGCCUGGCUUCAAACUUCAUGUUUUGGUGCUACAACACUUGUUUUGUGUGGUUGAUGGCCUAACUGAACCUCUAUGGGAUGCAUCCACGGCAUCAUAUCCAUCUAAUGCCAUGUUUGUACGGGACUACACAAUCAAACUUCUUGGAGCAUCAUUUCCUAACAUGACGGCAGCUGAGGUGACCAAGUUUGUUGAUGGGCUCCUUGGUUCGAGACAUGACCUCCCAAGCUUCAAAAACCAUAUUAGGGACUUCCUGGUGCAAUCAAAGGAGUUCUCAGCCCAGGAUAACAAGGAUCUGUAUGCGGAAGAGGCUGCGGUACAAAGAGAAAAGGAAAGGCAACGGAUGCUUGCCAUCCCAGGGCUGAUUGCCCCAAGCGAAUUGCAAGAUGAGAUGGUAGACUCAUAG